GAUGAACGCUGGCGGCGUGCCUAAUACGUGCAAGUCGAGCGAACAGACGAGGAGCUUGCUCCUCUGACGUUAGCGGCGGACGGGUGAGUAACACGUGGAUAACCUACCUAUAAGACUGGGAUAACUUCGGGAAACCGGAGCUAAUACCGGAUAAUAUAUUGAACCGCAUGGUUCAAUAGUGAAAGACGGUUUUGCUGUCACUUAUAGAUGGAUCCGCGCCGCACUAGCUAGUUGGUAAGGUAACGGCUUACCAAGGCAACGAUGCGUAGCCGACCUGAGAGGGUGAUCGGCCACACUGGAACUGAGACACGGUCCAGACUCCUACGGGAGGCAGCAGUAGGGAAUCUUCCGCAAUGGGCGAAAGCCUGACGGAGCAACGCCGCGUGAGUGAUGAAGGUCUUCGGAUCGUAAAACUCUGUUAUUAGGGAAGAACAAAUGUGUAAGUAACUAUGCACGUCUUGACGGUACCUAAUCAGAAAGCCACGGCUAACUACGUG
Molecule: ribosomal RNA, 497 nt
Filed under: uncultured bacterium
Lineage: Bacteria
Description: partial 16S ribosomal RNA
Rfam family: Bacterial small subunit ribosomal RNA
Source: RNAcentral